Molecule: ribosomal RNA, 482 nt
Filed under: uncultured bacterium
Lineage: Bacteria
Description: partial 16S ribosomal RNA
Rfam family: Bacterial small subunit ribosomal RNA
Source: RNAcentral
GACGAACGCUGGCGGCGUGCUUAACACAUGCAAGUCGAACGGUGAAACCUAGCUUGCUAGGUCGGUUAGUGGCGAACGGGUGAGUAACACGUGACUAACCUGCCCCUUUCUCUGGGAUAACGCUCCGAAAGGAGUGCUAAUACCGGAUACUCACACCGAGGCACAUGCCUUGGUGUGGAAAGUUUUUCGGAAAGGGAUGGAGUCGCGGCCUAUCAGCUUGUUGGUGAGGUAACGGCUCACCAAGGCGACGACGGGUAGCCGGCCUGAGAGGGCGACCGGCCACACUGGGACUGAGACACGGCCCAGACUCCUACGGGAGGCAGCAGUGGGGAAUAUUGCACAAUGGGCGCAAGCCUGAUGCAGCGACGCCGCGUGAGGGAUGAAGGUCUUCGGAUUGUAAACCUCUUUCAGUAGGGACGAAGCGAAAGUGACGGUACCUAAAGAAGAAGCACCGGCUAACUACGUGCCAGCCGCCGCCGUAA